Molecule: ribosomal RNA, 372 nt
Filed under: uncultured bacterium
Lineage: Bacteria
Description: bacterial SSU rRNA
Rfam family: Bacterial small subunit ribosomal RNA
Source: RNAcentral
UCCUAGCCGUAAACGAUGGGUACUAAGUGUAGGAGGUAUUGACCCCUUCUGUGCUGUAGCAAACGCAUUAAGUACCCCGCCUGGGGACUACGGCCGCAAGGCUAAAACUCAAAGUAAUUGACGGGGGCCCGCACAAGCGGUGGAGCAUGUCGCUCAAUUCGAAGCAACGCGAAGAACCUUAUCCAGUGGCUUGACAUCCUCUGACAACCGUGGAAACACGGCCUUCUCUUAUGAGACAGAGUGACAGGUGCUGCAUGGCAGUCGUCAGCUCGUGUCGUGAGAUGUUGGGUUAAGUCCCGCAACGAGCGCAACCCUUAUCUCUAGUUGCCAGCGGGUUAUGCCGGGGACUCUAGAGAGACUGCCGACGAUAAG